GAUGAACGCUGGCGGCGUGCCUAAUACAUGCAAGUCGAGCGAACGGACGAGAAGCUUGCUUCUCUUAUGUUAGCGGCGGACGGGUGAGUAACACGUGGAUAACCUACCUAUAAGACUGGGAUAACUUCGGGAAACCGGAGCUAAUACCGGAUGAUAUUUUGGACCGCAUGGUUCAAAAGGGAAAGACGUUCUUGCUGUCACGUAUAGACGCAUCCGCUCUGCAUUAGCUAGUUGGUAAGUUACCUGCUUACCAAGGCAAGGAUGGAUAGCCGACCUGCGAGGGUGAUCGGCCACACUCGAAGGGAGACACGGUCCAGCCUCAUACGGAAGGCAGCAGUAGGGAAUCUUCCGCGAUGGACGAAAGCAUGACGGAGGCAGGCAGCGUGAGUGAUGAAGGUCUUCGGAUCGUAAAACUCUGUUAUUAGGGAAGAACAUAUGUGUAAGUAACUGUGCACAUCUUGACGGUACUUAAUCAGAAAGCCACGGCUAACUACGUG
This 497-nucleotide ribosomal RNA is filed under the name uncultured bacterium. Its description in RNAcentral is "partial 16S ribosomal RNA". It matches the Rfam family "Bacterial small subunit ribosomal RNA", at positions 28 to 507 of the family's 1533-position model. The record is from RNAcentral.